AGUGAACGCUGGCGGUAGGCCUAACACAUGCAAGUCGAACGGCAGCACAGUAAGAGCUUGCUCUUACGGGUGGCGAGUGGCGGACGGGUGAGGAAUACAUCGGAAUCUACUUUUUCGUGGGGGAUAACGUAGGGAAACUUACGCUAAUACCGCAUACGACCUACGGGUGAAAGCAGGGGAUCUUCGGACCUUGCGCGAUUGAAUGAGCCGAUGUCGGAUUAGCUAGUUGGCGGGGUAAAGGCCCACCAAGGCGACGAUCCGUAGCUGGUCUGGGAGGAUGAUCAGCCACACUGGAACUGAGACACGGUCCAGACUCCUACGGGAGGCAGCAGUGGGGAAUAUUGGACAAUGGGCGCAAGCCUGAUCCAGCCAUACCGCGUGGGUGAAGAAGGCCUUCGGGUUGUAAAGCCCUUUUGUUGGGAAAGAAAAGCAGCAGGUUAAUACCCCGCUAUUCUGACGGUACCCAAAGAAUAAGCACCGGCUAACUUCGUG
RNAcentral lists this ribosomal RNA (492 nucleotides) under uncultured bacterium. RNAcentral's name for it is "partial 16S ribosomal RNA". It matches the Rfam family "Bacterial small subunit ribosomal RNA", at positions 29 to 507 of the family's 1533-position model. The record is from RNAcentral.